This 520-nucleotide ribosomal RNA is filed under the name uncultured Campylobacterota bacterium. RNAcentral's name for it is "bacterial SSU rRNA". It matches the Rfam family "Bacterial small subunit ribosomal RNA", at positions 214 to 751 of the family's 1533-position model. The record is from RNAcentral. Lineage: Bacteria; Pseudomonadati; Campylobacterota.
UUCGCUAAGGGAUCAGUCUAUGUCCUAUCAGCUAGUUGGUGAGGUAAUGGCUCACCAAGGCUAUGACGGGUAUCUGGUUUGAGAGGAUGAUCAGACACACUGGAACUGAGACACGGUCCAGACUCCUACGGGAGGCAGCAGUGAGGAAUAUUGCACAAUGGAGGAAACUCUGAUGCAGCAACGCCGCGUGGAGGAUGACGCAUUUCGGUGUGUAAACUCCUUUUAAGAGGGAAGAUUAUGACGGUACCUCUUGAAUAAGCACCGGCUAACUCCGUGCCAGCAGCCGCGGUAAUACGGGGGGUGCAAGCGUUACUCGGAAUCACUGGGCGUAAAGGGUGCGUAGGCUGGCUUUUAAGUCAGAUGUGAAAUCCAAUGGCUUAACCAUUGAACUGCAUUUGAAACUGGGAGCCUAGAGUUCAGAAGGGGCAGAUGGAAUUAGUGGUGUAGGGGUAAAAUCCGUAGAUAUCACUAGGAAUAUCAAAAGCGAAGGCGAUCUGCUGGGAUGAUACUGACGCUGAGG